Molecule: long non-coding RNA, 5196 nt
Organism: Gallus gallus (chicken)
Lineage: Eukaryota; Metazoa; Chordata; Aves; Galliformes; Phasianidae
Source: Ensembl
GGAGAGGAGAGGAGAGGAGAGGAGAGGAGAGGAGAGGAGAGGAGAGGAGAGGAGAGGAGAGGAGAGGAGAGGAGAGGAGAGGAGAGGAGAGGAGAGGAGAGGAGAGGAAAAUACGUGUAGGAGCAGCAUUGUUUUUGUGGAAGAACUCAUUUGAAACUAUGCUAUCUCUGAGCUGCACAAAGAGAAGAGUCUUCUGGCUUUAAUCAGGUUUAAAUUGUUGUUUAUAUUUCAGUAGCCACUGUCCCACUAAGGUAAAUCACAACGUACCCAGCCGCCUUUGGAAUGCAAUUCGGGGCCUGCGGAUUUUCCAGAUAGUGGCAACUCAGAGCAGCCUGCCGCGUUGUGGCACGACCCCGAAAAUGCCAAUUUGGGGUGUUUUGUUUCGGCUUUCUUUCUUUUCUUUUUCUGUAAAUAAUUAGGCAGUCUGAUCAAACCUACGUGCGUUAAGAUGACAGGUGAUACCUUCAACAACACAUUUAAUAGUCUAAGAACUGGAGCGCACAAGAUGUCCCCCUGAGAGGAGAUCUGUGUCCCCGGGUCUGAACAGCUUCAGGGAUUCCCGAGACAAGAGCAGAAGCGGGCGCGUCUAUAGGCCGUGCUCCCACAGUGAGGCAUCGCAAAUCCAUCGGAACAGUGCUCGCUUUUCCCAGCCCACAUCCCCUGGUACCUCCGCGCGGUGUUUCUAUGUUUCCCACCGCAGCGGAGCGCUGCCCCCCGGCCCCGCUCCGUGUCAGUCCCAGCGCCGCACCUCUCGGCGGGAGGUGGGAGAAGGGAAGGACAGACGGGUUGCUUUUUUUCUUCUUUUGAAAGAAAGGAGAGAUGAAAGGAAGAGCGACAGAUGUCAGCGAUCAGCAUAUUGAAGGGAAAAAAAAAGAAGAAAGAAAAAAGCAAAUAUACCUUUACAUAUGUAUCUGUAUUAAAAAUAGCGCGCGGCACAGCCAACAGGAGAGGCGGGAGGAAGGGAGGAAGGGAGCCCGGCCCUCCGACGCCCCCACGGUCCCAUCUCGGGGCCUCCUUGCGCUGCUGCCGCUGAGGUGGCCGCCGGAUUUCUUCCUUCCGCCAAACGCGAUCCCCGGGAACACGCAGAAAUCGCGCCGGGGUCUGCGUCCGCUGCUGCCAGCGGGAGGAUUUGCAAAUUUCUUUUUCUUUUUUUUUUUUCUUAAUGCCCUUAUUUCUUCGAUGUAUGUAAAUGCAGAGGACGUACAGUGACGUCAAAGGACGUGACCCUGCCGCUAAACCUGAACGUGAACGGGAAUGGCGGCGCGGGGGGCGACGGUGAGGCCGGGAAGGGGUAGCGGUAGGGCCCCUUCCGCGGCCGCGCAGCUCUGCGCCUCCGCGCAUCCCACGCACAUGGGCAGAGCAUCCCGGCCCCGCGUGGCCCAGCACAAAGCCCACCCCGCUCCGCCGAGCCGCCCGCUCUCCCCUCCUUAUUUAUUUAUUUAUUUAUUUAUUUAUUUAUUUAUUUAUUUAUUUAUUUUCCCGUUAAUUGAAUGUUAUUUGCUGUUUCGGUUCAUCAGAUGACGAGCGGGAAAUAGGAAACUCAGAACCGUGGGGGGAAAAAAAAAAUAAAUAAAUGUUUAUCGUCCUCUCCAAAAAUGUUACGCGGUGGAUCGCGGUCCUGCAUCCCUACGGGGGCAGCCGUGCCUCGGCGGCACCUGCGGGGCUGAAAGGGGCUGCAAAGGACUGGAAGCGAGCACGGGGCGCGGUGGGGGGUAAAGGCGGCUUCCCACCUCUCCCCCCGUCCAUUUUCCUUUACCCAGGCCCUCCCUUCUCUCGCGGCACUGUUGUUUGCGGGGAUGUGAGAAGAAGUUUCAGCUGCGACGCUGAAUGCCAUCGGCGUCCUGAAAGUGGAGGGUGUUCUCUAUUAGGAUCCAAGCCUUCCUACCUCUUCCCCAGGCGUCUAUUUGCUGUGAUGCCUUCAGAGCAUCUCCCUUCGCCUCGGCACGGUCUCUCCAAUUUGCAUACACCGCACGCUGCCUCCCCUACCCGAGAGUCGGAAUCUGCGCGCAUCCCCAGAGGCCGAGGAUCGCUCUGCGCACCCCCGGGCCCCUCUCGGUCCUCACAGUGCGCCCUUUGUCCCACCGCACCGCUGGGGCAGCGCUGCCGGGGGUUCCCGAGUGCGUGGGCGGAGGGAGGAGGCAGUCCCCUACUGGCAUGCAUACACACAUGUAUACAUACGUACACGCGUGUGUGCGUGGCUGCUACAGACACACACACACCUCCUGCCGUCAGCCCGCCCCCGGCCCCCCGCCACCUGCCCACGCCACCGCGGACGUCGAGCACGGCCGCCAGCGGCCCGCCCCGAAAAGGGCAGCGGGAAGCCGUCCUGACGCCCCUCACCUCCUCCCGUCCUCCGCGCCGCUCCGCUCACCCAAACUUCCGCCCUCACGCCCUAAAACGCGGCGUUUCCACGCAGAUUACGCGCCGCUGGUUCGCGGGAGGCAGCGGAGGAGCCGGGGGAGCUAUGCCGGCGGGAGGGCACGCAGCGGUGUGCGUGGCAGCCUGACUGGGGAGAGACGCUCUCUCUCUCUCUCUCUCUUUUCUUUUUUUUCCCCCUUCUUUUUUCUCUUUAAACAUUAUGAUUUUUUUAUUAUAAUUAUUUUAAUUUUAUUUAUUUGUUUGUUUAUUUUGCAAUUGUCGACCAGUUGUUUGGUUCAGAGGAAAGUUACCCAGAAGGGGAAUGCCACCCAAGGACAGCACUCGGCAGGAGCCGCUCUUCAGAUCACGGCUGGAGAAAGACACCUACAAAAAACUCCACCGCUCGCUGCGUUUGUAAGUUUCCAAAGAAAUGAGAGCCUCUUUUCCUUUUCUCCUGGAAGACGCAAGCCACGGCUCUUCUUUAGACUUUUCUAAUUUGUUCCGUCCGUCAGAGCGGCACUAAGAGAGGUUUGGUGCAAAUUCAUUAUCUCUGGCAACGCGCAGCGCGGAGCAGGAACUGAAAAAGACCGUGGCAAUGCGUGAACAAUGGGGCUUCAGUUCGUCGGCAACAAAAGCAGUGGGGAAAUCGGUUGGAUUUCAGAGCACGUCCUCCUCGGCAGAGAGGGCUGGACUAGACCUUGGCCAACCCCCCAAAAAACUUGCGGAGCGUCUCAUGCAGGACUCCACUUUCUACUCCGGGGCUUAAGAGGCAAUAUGGAAAAAAAAAAGGGGGGGGGGGGAGGGUGGGGGUGGGGGGAGGAAAGGGGGAACAGAAAACUUUCUGCGAUCGUCUUCCGUUUUUCUGGAUAGAGGAUGCCGAGCUACUUUAAAGCCAUUUGGCGCAAGAACUGCACCAUGGAGCUACACGGAACUUUUAAAGCAGGAUGAGGAUGGAGGAACGACGUGAAUUCGUGGAGAUUUGCCCGUGGGGAUCUUUGUGCUUGCCUUACCGCCGGGACCGGGGGGGGAGAACCUCCCCCACCCUCGGAGCCGCAGCGAUAUUUAAACAACGCAGACAGAGCACAGGGAAUGACAUCCAAGGCACGACACGGCCGGGGGCAGCAGCGCGCCGGCCGGAACCUGCCUUCUCUUCCCCAGCCCCGGGAAAGCGAGGAGCUCCCCCCCCAAAACACGCACGCAUGUAAGAUGUUUGCCACGGAGCUGCCACCAUUUGGCCAAAAGCGCUCUGCCGUGCAUAAGGGAUCGGAAACCGCGUCCUCACGUCACUUUCUUCCGAAAUGGGAUUUUUAAAUUUUUUUUUAAUUUUUUUUUUUUGGGGGGGGGGGGGGGGUACUUCCUUACACCGUCCUGGAAAUCGCUGAUGGCUUUACGUCUUCACAGAGGCUAAGGAGACUUUUGUGAGAGUGGAGAGACUUACAACGCACAGAGAGGCCUGCGGUGGGAUGGAUGCUUCUCGCUCCUAAAACAGCCAACGCACCUUCAUCGUUGAUGUUGUUUUCUGAGGGGAGCAGACAGACCGUGGGUUAUGCUGUCGGAAAUCAGUGGCUGGAAGGAAAAGUUGGGAAUAAACUCUAAAGGUGAUGGAUCUCCUUUGGAUGUUACUGGCCGCACAUGUAGACAGACACACAAACCAGGGCACAGCUGCAUGAAAGGAUGGAAUUUUAAAGCAGGACUGGUGCUCCUGGAGGAGACAGCAUGGCUGUUUGCCAGGGAGAAUCUGGAUUCUAGCAAGGAAAAUUAUUAUUAUUAAUAGUAAUAAUAAUAAAGCUUUGAGGGAAGCGAGUUGUUAUCUUUGGUUAUCUAGCUGUAUGAGUGUUUUGGUCUUCAUAAAGCUAGAUAACCGAAAGUAAAAACUCCUUCAAGAUCAUCGUACAGCGUGUGAAAAUGAGAGACUGCUGCAAGAGACAGUAAAACCUGAGACAGGUCGGGAACGCUCAUUGCACCGAACGCUUUUACAGCUGGAGGUGGGAGCGGAGGGCGCUACAUGGCGUGCUUAUCACUCAUCCCAAAAUGUGGAGCUGUCAGAUGCCAUGGGAUGGAUGGCUGCUGGUAGCAAACAAUGCCAGUGUGACUGCUGCCAUUGCACAGAUGGAUAAACAAGGACCCAGGCCAGUAAAUGCUUAACUGAGAAGACACGUAUACACACACACCUGUAUAUAUAUAUAUUUCUUAUAUAUAUAUAAGAAAGCUGUUUGGAAAUGCUGAGUUUCAUUUUCCGGAACGAUGCAUUGCAGUGAGACAGCCUCAGAAAUAUUCCAGCAGCUGCUGGUGAUGGAGGUGACGGUGGUGGUGGUGGUACUGUGUGGACUGAGCCAGGAGGAAAACAACCCCAGACCUGUCUGUGUGCAUCCAAGGCAAAGCGCCGGGGUCUGUUCCGAACAACGCCAAAUCAGGCUUUCGGAAAGUUUGCACUGCAGUGUAGGCAAGCUUAAUAAUUUAUACCUAGUAAGAACGCGGUGGAGCUGCACAAAGAUGAAAAAAGUGAUGGCCGAUUUUUAUUCUUCUAUUCAGAACGCCAGCACAGAUGCUUCUCUGUUCCGAGAGGGUUUCCUUGAGGAAGCUACUGAAGCAGAAAGACAUGAUGGAGACGAGAUCGCCUCCCCCCUUGUCAAAGUGUUAAAAAAUGUUCUGUGUCUUACUCCGCGCCCAGCAUUGGAAAUGAAAGUGACAUUUACUCCCCAACCCACGUGUGCGCCUCCUCUCUUUUUGUUUAAGGAUGAUCAGAUCUAUCCGGGAAACAGCUCUGGCAUCCCAACCCGAAAUAAUUAGGACGUAUAUAGACCUGACAAAACAGAGAGGGGGAAGGGAGGAGGGGAG